RNAcentral lists this ribosomal RNA (245 nucleotides) under uncultured bacterium. Its description in RNAcentral is "partial 16S ribosomal RNA". It matches the Rfam family "Bacterial small subunit ribosomal RNA", at positions 796 to 1041 of the family's 1533-position model. The record is from RNAcentral.
CACGCCAUAAACGAUGGAUACUUGUUGUUGGAGGUAUUGACCCCUUCAGUGACGAAGCUAACGCGUUAAGUAUCCCGCCUGGGGAGUACGGUCGCAAGAUUAAAACUCAAAGAAAUUGACGGGGGCCCGCACAAGCGGUGGAGCAUGUGGUUUAAUUCGAUGCAACGCGAAGAACCUUACCUAGGCUUGACAUGUACUGGAAGAGUAGCAGAAAUGCUCUCGCCUUCGGGCCGGUACACAGGUGC